Molecule: non-coding RNA, 85 nt
Organism: Felis catus (domestic cat)
Lineage: Eukaryota; Metazoa; Chordata; Mammalia; Carnivora; Felidae
Source: Rfam
GCCUGCAUGGCUCAGUCGGUUAAGCGUCUGACUUAGGCUCAGGUCAUGAUCUCACGGUCCGUGAGUUCGAGCCCCACAUCGGGCU